GAUAAGAACGUAGCGAAAUGCGAUACGUAAUGUGAAUUGCAGAAUUCAGUGAAUCAUCGAAUCUUUGAACGCACAUUGCGCCUGCCAGCACUCUGGCAGGCAUGCCUGUUCGAGCGUCAUUUCAACCAUCAAGCCCUAGGCUUGCGUUGGAGCCCUGCGGCUGCCGCAGGCCCCUAAAAGCAGUGGCGGGCUCGCUAUCACACCGAGUGCAGUAGAUUACUCUUCGCUCAGGGCGUGUGGCGGGUUCCAGCCGUGAAACCCCCUACUUCUCAAGGUUGACCUCGGAUCAGGUAGGAAUACCCGCUGAACUUAAGCAUAUCAAUAAGCGGAGGA
Molecule: unclassified non-coding RNA, 333 nt
Filed under: soil metagenome
Description: partial contains 5.8S ribosomal RNA, internal transcribed spacer 2, and large subunit ribosomal RNA
Rfam family: 5.8S ribosomal RNA (bases 4-119)
Source: RNAcentral